CAAUAGCGUAUAUUAAAGUUGUUGCAGUUAAAAAGCUCGUAGUUGAAUUUCUGGCGGGCGCGCCGGUCUUCCAAGUGUUGUACUGGGCGCAGUCCGCCAUCCUUGUGGAGAGGGCUCGCAUUGAGUUGCGUAUCGGAUCUGCAUCAUUUACUGUGAAAAAAUUAGAGUGUUUAAAGCAGGCUGUCGCUUGAAUACAUUAGCAUGGAAUAAUAAGAUAGGACUUCGGUCUAUUUUGUUGGUUGCGAACCGAGGUAAUGAUUAAUAGGGAUAGUUGGGGGUAUUCAUAUUUAAUUGUCAGAGGUGAAAUUCUUGGAUUUAUGAAAGAUGAACAACUGCGAAAGCAUUUACCAAGGAUGUUUNCAUUAA
Molecule: ribosomal RNA, 366 nt
Filed under: uncultured eukaryote
Lineage: Eukaryota
Description: partial 18S ribosomal RNA
Rfam family: Eukaryotic small subunit ribosomal RNA
Source: RNAcentral